Molecule: small RNA, 17 nt
Filed under: Arabidopsis thaliana (thale cress)
Lineage: Eukaryota; Viridiplantae; Streptophyta; Magnoliopsida; Brassicales; Brassicaceae
Description: ATSL111790
Source: RNAcentral
CAUAAACGACAAACAAU